Molecule: ribosomal RNA, 216 nt
Filed under: uncultured Acaulospora
Lineage: Eukaryota; Fungi; Glomeromycota; Glomeromycetes; Diversisporales; Acaulosporaceae
Description: partial small subunit ribosomal RNA
Rfam family: Eukaryotic small subunit ribosomal RNA
Source: RNAcentral
AGCAGCCGCGGUAAUUCCAGCUCCAAUAGCGUAUAUUAAAGUUGUUGCAGUUAAAAAGCUCGUAGUUGAAUUUCGGAAUCUGUCCGUUGGUCGGGCUUAAUUGUCCGUACUGAUGUGAUGGGUUCUUACCUUCUGAAUAACCAGCAUGUCAUUAAUUUGAUGUGUUGGGGAAGCAGGACUAUUACCUUGAAAAAAUUAGAGUGCUCAAAGCAGGCU